GACGAACGCUGGCGGCGUGCUUAACACAUGCAAGUCGAACGCUGAAGCUUGGUGCUUGCACUGGGUGGAUGAGUGGCGAACGGGUGAGUAUCACGUGAGUAACCUGCCCCUGACUUCGGGAUAAGCCUGGGAAACUGGGUCUAAUACCGGAUAUGACCAUCUUUCGCAUGUUGGGUGGUGGAAAGUUUUUCGGUUGGGGAUGGGCUCGCGGCCUAUCAGUUUGUUGGUGGGGUAAUGGCCUACCAAGACGACGACGGGUAGCCGGCCUGAGAGGGCGACCGGCCACACUGGGACUGAGACACGGCCCAGACUCCUACGGGAGGCAGCAGUGGGGAAUAUUGCACAAUGGGGGGAACCCUGAUGCAGCGACGCCGCGUGGGGGAUGACGGCCUUCGGGUUGUAAACCUCUUUCAGUAGGGAAGAAGCCUUUGGGUGACGGUA
This 441-nucleotide ribosomal RNA is filed under the name uncultured bacterium. Its description in RNAcentral is "bacterial SSU rRNA". It matches the Rfam family "Bacterial small subunit ribosomal RNA", at positions 28 to 477 of the family's 1533-position model. The record is from RNAcentral.